GACGAACGCUGGCGGCGUGCUUAACACAUGCAAGUCGAACGGUGAAGCGCCUUCCUUUUUGGUGGGUGUGGAUGAGUGGCGAACGGGUGAGUAACACGUGAGUAACCUGCCCCCUCCUUCUGGAUAACCGCAUGAAAGUGUGGCUAAUACGGGAUAUUCUGGGUCUGUCGCAUGAUGGGUCUGGGAAAGAUAUUGUUUCGGUGGGGGAUGGGCUCGCGGCCUAUCAGCUUGUUGGUGGGGUGAUGGCCUACCAAGGCGGUGACGGGUAGCCGGCCUGAGAGGGUGGACGGCCACACUGGGACUGAGACACGGACCAGACUACGACGGGCGGCAGCAGUGGGGAAUAUGGCACAAUGGGCGCAAGCCUGAUGCAGCGACGCCGCGUGAGGGAUGGAGGCCUUCGGGUUGUGAACCUCUUUCGGGAGUGAAGCAGGCCUGCCUCGUUUGUGGGUGGGUUGACGGUAGCUGGAUAAGAAGCGCCGGCUAACUACGUG
Molecule: ribosomal RNA, 494 nt
Filed under: uncultured bacterium
Lineage: Bacteria
Description: partial 16S ribosomal RNA
Rfam family: Bacterial small subunit ribosomal RNA
Source: RNAcentral